This 774-nucleotide ribosomal RNA is filed under the name uncultured bacterium. RNAcentral describes it as "bacterial SSU rRNA". It matches the Rfam family "Bacterial small subunit ribosomal RNA", at positions 609 to 1396 of the family's 1533-position model. The record is from RNAcentral.
UCAACCGUGGAAGGUCAUUGGAAACUGGGUCACUUGAAUGGAGCAGAGGAGAACGAAUUCCAUGUGUAGCAGUGAAAUGCGUAGAUAUAUGGAGGAACACCAGUGGCGAAGGCGUUCUCUGGGCUCACAUUGACGCUGAGGCUCGAAAGCGUGGGGAGCGAACAGGAUUAGAUACCUGGUAGUCCACGCCGUAAACGAUGAGUGCUAAGUGUUGGGGGGCUUCCACCCCUCAGUCUGGCGUUAACGCAAUAAGCACUCCGCCUGGGGAGUACGGCCGCAAGGCUGAAACUCAAAGAAUUGACGGGGACCCGCACAAGCGGUGGAGCAUGUGGUUUAAUUCGAAGCAACGCGAAGACCUUACCAGGGCUUGACAUCUGAUGCAUAACCUAGAGAUAGGUGAAAUUCUUCGGAACACAAGACAGGUGGUGCAUGGUUGUCGUCAGCUCGUGUCGUGAGAUGUUGGGUUAAGUCCCGAACGAGCGCAACCCUUAUCACUAGUUGCCAGCAUUAAGUUGGGGACUCUAGUGAGACUGCGGUGACAAACCGGAGGAAGGUGGGGAUGACGUCAAAUCAUCAUGCCCCUUAUGUCCUGGGUACACACGUGCUACAAUGGAUGAUACAGCGAGAAGCGACGUCGCGAGGCCAAGCAGAUCUUUAAAGUCAUUCACAGUUCGGAUUGUUCUCUGCAACUCGAGAGCAUGAAGCCGGAAUCGCAGUAAUCGUGGAUCAGCACGCCACGGUGAAUACGUUCCCGGGUCUUGCACACACCGCCCG